UUAAGUUCAGCGGGUAUCCCUACCUGAUCCGAGGUCAAACUUUGGGGUGCGUCUUGAUGGACGCCCGUGCCAGAGGUUCGCGAGGCGCGCGUCUGCUGCGCUCGAAGCCAAUACACAGGCCGCCAAUGCUUUUGAGGCGAGUCCGCGCCGGGGCGGGACAAAGCGCCCAACACCAAGCAGUGCUUGAGGGGGUUAGAUGA
RNAcentral lists this unclassified non-coding RNA (200 nucleotides) under Lophiostoma sp. RNAcentral's name for it is "partial internal transcribed spacer 2". The record is from RNAcentral. Lineage: Eukaryota; Fungi; Ascomycota; Dothideomycetes; Pleosporales; Lophiostomataceae.